Ceratotherium simum simum (southern white rhinoceros) is the source of this 142-nucleotide non-coding RNA. NCBI's taxonomy places the organism in Eukaryota, Metazoa, Chordata, Mammalia, Perissodactyla, Rhinocerotidae. The record is from RefSeq and is a predicted model, not a curated record.
CUAAGCCCACACGUCAGCAUUUCUUUUACAUUAGGAUACUUCCCUAAUGUUUCUGUCAAAACAAAAGGAAGCAUAAUGCAGGACUCCACUAUGCCCGCUGACCACCUUCCACAGCUUCACUCAUCAGGAAGUGAGGUUAAUU